AGAGCGAACGCUGGCGGCAGGCCUAACACAUGCAAGUCGAGCGCCCGUAGCAAUACGGGAGCGGCAGACGGGAUAGUAACACGUGGGAACGCGCCCUUCGGUUCGGAAUAACUCAGGGAAACUUGAGCUAAUACCGGAUACGCCCUUACGGGGAAAGAUUUAUUGCCGAAGGAACGGCCCGCGUCCGAUUAGCUAGUUGGUGAGGUAAUGGCUCACCAAGGCACGAUCGGUAGCUGGUCUGAGAGGAUGACCAGCAUCACUGGGACUGAGACACGGCCCAGACUCCUACGGGAGGCAGCAGUGGGGAAUAUUGGACAAUGGGCGCAAGCCUGAUCCAGCCAUGCCGCGUGGAUGAUGAAGGCCUUAGGGUUGUAAAGUCCUUUUAACGGGGAAGAUAAUGACGGUACCCGUAGAAUAAGCCCCGGCUAACUUCGUGCCAGCAGCCGC
This 447-nucleotide ribosomal RNA is filed under the name uncultured bacterium. Its description in RNAcentral is "SSU rRNA". It matches the Rfam family "Bacterial small subunit ribosomal RNA", at positions 26 to 518 of the family's 1533-position model. The record is from RNAcentral.